This 385-nucleotide ribosomal RNA is filed under the name Leptolyngbya sp. LTM. RNAcentral describes it as "bacterial SSU rRNA". It matches the Rfam family "Bacterial small subunit ribosomal RNA", at positions 398 to 796 of the family's 1533-position model. Lineage: Bacteria; Bacillati; Cyanobacteriota; Cyanophyceae; Leptolyngbyales; Leptolyngbyaceae. The record is from RNAcentral.
CGCGUGCGGGAUGAAGGUCUGUGGACUGUAAACCGCUUUUGAUAGGGAAGAAGACAGUGACGGUACCUAUCGAAUCAGCCUCGGCUAACUCCGUGCCAGCAGCCGCGGUAAUACGGAGGAGGCAAGCGUUAUCCGGAAUUAUUGGGCGUAAAGCGUCCGUAGGUGGUGAUGCAAGUCUAUUGUCAAAGCGUGAGGCUUAACCUCAUAUCGGCAGUGGAAACUGCAUUGCUAGAGUGCGAUAGGGGCAAGGGGAAUUCCCAGUGUAGCGGUGAAAUGCGUAGAUAUUGGGAAGAACAUCGGUGGCGAAAGCGCCUUGCUGGGUCUGCACUGACACUGAGGGACGAAAGCUAGGGGAGCGAAAGGGAUUAGAUACCCCCUGUAGUCA